CAAAGUCUGUCACGCAGCAGUAGUAAAUUCAUGCUGCUACGUGAGUCAGUAAAUUAUCUCGCCUAAAUUGGAAGCGGAUAAAUUUGAUAUUACUUUUCACUGUGCAAAGGGAUAUUUUGCGGCAUUCUGUGGUACGUAGUUUGGGGUAGAGAAAGAUGUGUGGGUGUGCAAGGAAGGGGCAGGGCCAGUAAGUUUGAGUAAGGAAGGGCGCAGGAUUAGGAGAGCCCUGCAAAACUUGUUGGAGUGUAAGGAUUCAUUGUUGUUGUCAAUGAUGAACGUAUGCUUAUUUCACUGGUCAGAUUUGUACGAAUGCAAUUACACCGGGCAGGUAUAGGGUAGAAUGAGUGUGCUGCAUUUCCAGUUUAGCCAGAAGACCCACAGAAGGGAGGAAACUCAUGGGUCAGUAAGGGAGGGCUAAAUUAGAGGUUAGCAUAUGCAAGUGUCUAGACAGCAAAUACAGACAUACUGCAAAAGUCAGUCUGUCAGGGAGUGGAGAGCGUAGAUUAAAAAGCCAUUUCAAAGGCAUGUUGCCUGGAUGGGGUAAUCAUGUGCUCAGGCUUUUUCAGUACAUAAGCAUAAGCUAAGUGAGGGAAGAGAUCAAAAAAGGACACCAAGAUUGACGCAGAUUCUGUAGCAGCUUAGACUGGAAUGGAACUUGAUAAAUUAAAAAUAGGUGGUUGUUCACACUUGUGUUUCCCAGAAAUGGCCACAGUCCCAUCUGUUUUUCACUCUCCAUCCAGUACCAUUGGAAUGCCUCAAAGAAAUGUUACAUAAAUACUGCUGACGUAGACGCGUUGUUAUACAGUUCUUCCAAAUCGAGUUCCUUGUUGCUUUCAGGCACACAAACUGGUCGCCAGAAAGCCUCGUCUGCUGUGCUGGAUUACCCACAGCUUGUUCUGCUUUGGUAUUAAUUGGGUUCUUUCAGGGCAGUGUUGAGAAACUUCCAACUGCAGUUCACUGGGAGGACCAUUUGAAACUGAGGGGUUGACUCAAAUCCCGGUCAAUGUUUCUCUUCCCAGAGCCAGAGGGCUCUGCCAGCCGAUGGGCUCAGUGUGUUUGUAUGGCCUGUAGGUGCAGUGUUUCCAUGAGAGCGCUGCAUUUUACUUUGGGGGAGGUUCCUGGGAUGCACUCCCUCACUAUAUUGGGGGGGGUCUGCAGCACAGCUGAGGUUUGUUUUUAUCCUUCCCAAGAAUUUAUCCUAGUCUGUUACCUUAGUUUACUACUCUGUUUAUUUUCAAACAUGCUGCUUUUUAUCAUGGUGAGCUCAUUCUAUAGGUGUCUUUUGGGUAUCCAAGGAGGUAAGGGAUGUGUAUUGUAUCAGGCUGGCAGCAGUGGGAGGUGCCAGGUGUGGG
Long non-coding RNA from Gallus gallus (chicken), 1352 nucleotides. Lineage: Eukaryota; Metazoa; Chordata; Aves; Galliformes; Phasianidae. The record is from Ensembl.